UUGUACAUGGUCAUGGACCAGGUGUGAAUUUUCAUCUCUGAACCCAAUUUGCAUAUUUCACACCCUUCCCCUCUGCUGCUGAACUGUUAUAAAUGCUCCGUGUCACUCGUUACAGUUUGUUGAUCAGCACUGGGCCACUCAGACGUAUCAAGAUGAUCUCCCAGGCUCAGCUCAUCUGGCUGUUAGUGCUCUGGGUCCAGGGCUCCAGUGGGCAGAUUGUGCUGAGUCAGAUGCAAGCAGCCGUGGCAGUGGCGUCAGGAGACAGAGUCACUAUCAACUGCCAAGCCAGUUCCAGCAUCACCAGUGGUAGCACUCACUACUUAGCCUGGUACCAACAGAAACCAGGACAAGCUCCUAAACUCCUUAUCUACCAUGCUUCCACCCGUGCCUCUGGGAUCUCAGACCGGUUCACUGGCAGCGGGUCUGGAACUGAUUUCACUCUCACAAUCAGCAACGUUCAACCUGAAGAUGCUGGAGGUUAUUAUUGUCAGCAACACUAUAGCUCACCUCUCACAGUGAUACAGACCAAUACAAAAACCUCCCUGUUCCGUUCCAUUCUCUGUAACAGCUGCUUCCUUCAAACAGCCGCCUUCUCAGUGCAAAUGCUACAUGUUAUUUAGGGGCAAACUUUCAGCCCCAGAAACACAUAAACCUGCUGUC
Mauremys reevesii (Reeves's turtle) is the source of this 660-nucleotide non-coding RNA. The record is from the annotation of a RefSeq genome assembly. NCBI's taxonomy places the organism in Eukaryota, Metazoa, Chordata, Testudines, Geoemydidae.